AUUGAACGCUGGCGGCAGGCCUAACACAUGCAAGUCGAGCGGAUGAAGGGAGCUUGCUCCUGGAUUCAGCGGCGGACGGGUGAGUAAUGCCUAGGAAUCUGCCUGGUAGUGGGGGAUAACGUCCGGAAACGGGCGCUAAUACCGCAUACGUCCAGAGGGAGAAAGUGGGGGAUCUUCGGACCUCACGCUAUCAGAUGAGCCUAGGUCGGAUUAGCUAGUUGGUGGGGUAAAGGCCUACCAAGGCGACGAUCCGUAACUGGUCUGAGAGGAUGAUCAGUCACACUGGAACUGAGACACGGUCCAGACUCCUACGGGAGGCAGCAGUGGGGAAUAUUGGACAAUGGGCGAAAGCCUGAUCCAGCCAUGCCGCGUGUGUGAAGAAGGUCUUCGGAUUGUAAAGCACUUUAAGUUGGGAGGAAGGGCAGUAAGUUAAUACCUUGCUGUUUUGACGUUACCAACAGAAUAAGCACCGGCUAACUUCGUG
Molecule: ribosomal RNA, 484 nt
Filed under: uncultured bacterium
Lineage: Bacteria
Description: partial 16S ribosomal RNA
Rfam family: Bacterial small subunit ribosomal RNA
Source: RNAcentral